Molecule: non-coding RNA, 1757 nt
Filed under: Pan troglodytes (chimpanzee)
Lineage: Eukaryota; Metazoa; Chordata; Mammalia; Primates; Hominidae
Source: RNAcentral
UGAAAAGAAGAGUCCAGUGUGUCAUGAGGAAAACCCCAAGAGCACGCUGCCUUACAAGACAGGUGAAAAAUGUGUUCUGUGAAAGAAAGAGUAAUUAACUGUUAAAUGUUACAGACUGAUCAAAUAAAAUGAAGACUGAGAAUGGCCUGUUUGUAAGAUCACUUUUAAAAGGAAAACAUAGGAGCCUGAAACAGAAGUGGGAAACAAAUAUUUACUCAAACUAAGAGAUUAAACUCAGUAGCCAGCAACAAGAGAUCAAGAUGGAGUCCUCCUCUGUCACCCAGGCUGGAGCGCAAUGGUAUGAUCUCGGCUAACUGCAACCUCAGCCUGCCAGGUUCAAGCAAUUCUUCUGCCUCAGCCUUCCGAGUAGCUGGGAUUACAGGUGCCUGCUGCCAUGAUGAUUAAUUUUAUUUGUUAACUUAGCUGGGCUGUGUUGCCCAGAUAGUUGGUUAAACAUUACUCUGGAUGUUUCUGUGAAGAUGUUUUUGGAUGAGGUUAACAUUUAGAUCGAUGGACUUUGAGUAAAGCAGAUUACCUUUCAUAAUUUGGGUGGGGCUCAUCCAAUCAGUUGAACAUCUGAAGAGACCAAAAGACUGACCUUCUGCAAGCAAAGAAAAAUUCUGCCAACAGACAGCCAUUGGACUUGAACUUCAACAUUGACUCUUCAGUCUAUUGGCCCACGCUGCAAAUUUUGGACUUGCCAGUAAGUGUCUGAAAUCUAGUGAGGCAAUUUCUUUCUUUUUUUUUUUUUGAGAUGGAGUUUCGCUCUUGUUGUCCAGGCUGGAGUGCAAUGGUGCGAUCUCAGCUCACCGUAACCUCUGCCUCCCAGGUUCAAGUGAUUCUUCUGCCUCAGCCUCCUGAGUAGCUGGGAUUACAGGCAUGUGCCACCACGCCCGGCUACUUUUGUAUUUUUAGUAGAGAUGGGGUUUCUCCAUAUUGGUCAGGCUGGUCUCAAAUUCCCAAACUCAGGUGAUCCACCCACCUUGGCCUCCCAAAGUGCUGGGAUUACAGAUGUGAGCCACAGUGCCCAGCCUAAUUUCUUUCUUUCUUUCUUUCUUUUUUUUUUUUUUUUUUGAGACGGAGUUUUGCUCUUUUUGCCCAGAAAGGAGUGCAAUGUGGCAGGAUGUUGGCUCACUGCAACCUCCACCUCCUGGCCUCCCUAGUAGCUGGGAUUACGGGCGCCUGCCACCACGCCCAGCUAAUUUUUGUAUUUUUAGUAGAGAUGGGGUUUCACCAUGUUGGCGAGGCUGGUCUCAAACUCCUGACAUUACGUGAUCUGCCCGCCUUGGCCUCCCAAAGUGCUGGGAUUACAGGCGUGAGCCACCAUGCCUAGCCGGGUAGUUUAUCUUGACUUGACUUCAGGCUCACCAAUCCCUUUGGCUGCAAUUCUACGAUAGAAAAGGACAUAAAAAACUGUAAAUUAGCCUUAGAAUAGAGAGAUAUUAUCGUUCCCUAGCAAUUAGUAUUCAAAGCAAGAUCCAAACAUGUAAUUAGUCAUUUAUGUAUCUAAGCUGUUUGUAUGUAUGAUACAAGUUUUCACAUACAAAUUUCUUCUUUCUUUCUUUCUUUUUUUUUGAUAGAGGCAGGGUUUCACGACAUUGCCCAGGCUGGUCUUCAGCUCAAGUGAUCCAUCCGCCUUGGCCUCCCAAAGUGCUGAGAUUACAGGCAUGAGCCACAGUGCCUGGCCCAAAUUAUUGUAGUUAUUUCCAAUUCCUUUCCCCCUUCUCAUAUCCCAAUUAAAGAAUUCCACUCAGGAA